Molecule: ribosomal RNA, 414 nt
Filed under: Alpheus sp. 1 SB-2020
Lineage: Eukaryota; Metazoa; Arthropoda; Malacostraca; Decapoda; Alpheidae
Description: partial large subunit ribosomal RNA
Rfam family: Bacterial large subunit ribosomal RNA
Source: RNAcentral
UCAAUAGUCUUUUAAUUGAAGGCUUGAAUGAACGGUCGGACAUAGAGAAGUCUGUCUUCGGUUGAUUAGGGUGAAUUUAACUUUUGUGUGAAAAGGCAUUAAUAUUUUAAGGGGACGAUAAGACCCUAUAAAACUUGAUGAUUAGGUCGAUCUUUGUGAUUUAAGUAUAAUAUGAGGUUUGACUGGGUUCAUUGUGCUGGGGCGGUAGGAAUAUAAUCGGUAACUGUUCUUAGGUAUAAAAUAGUUUUAAUUAGAAAAUGACCCUGAGAUUUUGGGUUAUAAGAUUAAGUUACUUUAGGGAUAACAGCGUUAUUUCUCUUGAGAGUUCAUAUCGACAGGGACAUUUGCGACCUCGAUGUUGAAUUAAAGUUUUCUCCGGGAGUAGAAGUUCGGAUGAGUAGGUCUGUUCGACCU